Molecule: RNA transcript, 1351 nt
Organism: Rhagoletis pomonella (apple maggot)
Lineage: Eukaryota; Metazoa; Arthropoda; Insecta; Diptera; Tephritidae
Exons: 7
Source: RefSeq, a predicted model, not a curated record
UCGUUUUGUUUCAGUCCAGUAACAGGACCUUUCAAAAUCGUUGAAACUUCAAGAGAAUUGGGGCAGGAUGUAGUAUUAGGAUAUGCUUUUGAACAAAUUAAUAAUUUGUUUGAGGAACCGCUUAAAUCUGUAUCUGCACUUGGUAUAUUAACGGCAGGUCAAUUGAGCAAUGAAAAGUUUAAAAUCCGCAAAUCAGAUAUUCAAUAUAAAUUUUUAGUAUCCCAUACAAUAAUGAGUUUCUUUUGAUCCCAAUUCUACACCACUUAUUUUACGAGUUUUCGAACUAAUCAUUUAAAACCCCCACAUAUACAUACAUAUCUAUUUACUUUACUCAAAUAAUAUCGCUAUACAGUUCCAAUCGCCAAACUUAAAAACCUUAAAAAAUCGAAAAUGGACUUAAAUAAUAAUCCCAACGGCUCACUGAAAGAACAAAAACGAAUUUUCGUUAUUGACCGAAAAAAAUUGAGGACUACCACUACUUUUAAUAAUUCUGUACCAUACCCUGGGACGCAUAAAAUUGACAUAAGAUCGAAAAUGCUUUCUGUAGUUCCGCCCACCUCCCAACCAGGAAUAAUGCCAUCCAAUACUGUUGCCAAAUCUUCAAUUGGUACCGACUCCUUUAAUUUAUUGACAGCAAGGACCCAAGGCACAGGAAGUUUUACAUCAGCCCAUUUGACAGAGGCUUUUUCUACUGCUAAUCAUUCUGCUGUGGCGAAAUACGUGAAACUUCCUUCAAUUUCCACUUCCAUAAAAGACAAUCUUAGACAAGUUGCAGUUGAUCAAGCAAGCUGUCCAGUUGAAACCGAAACUGCUUAACCGAAAACUGACAAUAUGACAGCUUCCAGAACUGCCAGCCAUCCCACUUCAUAUAGAGAAGCUCUUACUCAGAUUAUCGGUCUAUGCAACACCAUUUUGGAGAGACAAAGCAAGGAGGCUAAGGUCGAUGAUUUGCAAAAGAAGAUAACCGAAAAUAUGCCAGAUCGAUGCGAGGGGGUGGCUCAGCAAAAAACUCUUCGAGAAUGCAAAGUGCUAAUCAAAAAGGUGCAUCAGUCAUUCUGUCGAAUAAAUGGGGGCGCUGUUACUGAGCUCCAAUUGGAAAUUUCAGAUGUUCUCCCAUUAAAAACCAUUGACGCAUUGUUUGAUGUGGAGGAGAAACUGCAAAGCAAUGAAUAUAAAGAGGAAAUGAUAUCUUACAUAUUCACAUUGGGCGCUGCGACUGGAAAUAUUGAUGGGACGAUAAAAAAAAUGUUUUCGGACGAAUUGUUAAUAAAUUUUAAUUGGGAUGGAAGGUGUGGAAAGAGAGCGUUAAUGAAACUUAACGCUGUCGAGUUUAAAUAGCGGCAAAUCAGCU